RNAcentral lists this ribosomal RNA (253 nucleotides) under uncultured Oscillospiraceae bacterium. RNAcentral's name for it is "partial 16S ribosomal RNA". It matches the Rfam family "Bacterial small subunit ribosomal RNA", at positions 524 to 776 of the family's 1533-position model. Lineage: Bacteria; Bacillati; Bacillota; Clostridia; Eubacteriales; Oscillospiraceae. The record is from RNAcentral.
UACGUAGGUGGCGAGCGUUGUCCGGAAUUACUGGGUGUAAAGGGAGCGCAGGCGGGGCUUUAAGUUGGAUGUGAAAUGCCGCGGCUUAACCGCGGAGCUGCAUCCAAAACUGGAGCUCUUGAGUGAAGUAGAGGUAGGCGGAAUUCCUAGUGUAGCGGUGAAAUGCGUAGAUAUUAGGAGGAACACCAGUGGCGAAGGCGGCCUACUGGGCUUUAACUGACGCUGAGGCUCGAAAGCGUGGGGAGCAAACAGG